Oreochromis niloticus (Nile tilapia) is the source of this 1952-nucleotide long non-coding RNA. RefSeq lists it as uncharacterized. NCBI's taxonomy places the organism in Eukaryota, Metazoa, Chordata, Actinopteri, Cichliformes, Cichlidae. The transcript is spliced from 3 exons. The record is from RefSeq and is a predicted model, not a curated record.
UCCCGACUACGUUAUGCAGAAUCAGUGUUAAACAGCAGUUUGUGGGUGUUGUGAUUAAAGCAGCCUUACAGCUGGAAAACAGAGUAACAGGGAUUUUAGGGAGGAAAACAGACAGAGAUGAAGGUUAUAUUGAAGGAGGACUACAAUUAGUUGAGGAUCAUAAGGGAAAUGGAACAAGAAGGAAAACACUUUCUUUCCUUGAGGCCUGGAGGUGUUGUGGCAAGUGAGACUAAAAGUUUCUGACUGGAAGGAAACGGGACUCCAGACAAAUCAAGUCAAAUAAAGAGGGAGUAGUGGAGACUGAGAGGAGGUCUGAAGGAGGGGAUGAGUCCUUAGCGGAGUCUACACCAUAUCAGCCAUGACAGAAUGUCAUUAACUCCACACCCACUCAGAUGUCAUUCUCUUUGUUGUGUUUUGAGCCCAGUGGCACCACCAGACAGAAGCAAAUAGAUUCAUGCCCCUGGAUAAAAGAAAAUCUGAUUCCUAGCUGACUGAUGGAGUAAAGCCUUUUCCUGGCAUCCACAACAAAGUGUGCAUUCUGAGGAAAUAUCAGCCAUCCAUCACCAUCUCCACAAGUCUGAGAAGCUAAAUUAAUGGUGACCUUAUGAGUGAAUGCAUGAGAGUCCUCUCCUGGGUCCGACUGGGAAAAGGUGUAUGCGUGUGUGUGUGUGUGUGUGUGUGUGUGUGUGUGUGUGUGUGUGUGUGUGUGUGUGUGUGUGUGUGCGUGCAUUUCAAGUACUAAGAAGUGUCCAUGAAAGAAUAAUGAGCUCCUCCAAAUGAUGCAUCAGUCCCCAGUGGCUCUGAGAUACAGAGUAAUCCAAUCUUUUACGCAAGGAAUAUUGGUGUGACAUUUCAGCAGAAAGCAAUCGCCACCAUCUGUUUCAAACAGACAGCAUUGCUCCCACCUGUGGUCCCAAGAGCGCUGGUGAGAGCAUCACGACAGUCUCCCUGAAGGUGGGUUGCUUAAAGGACUGCAGAGGUCCUGUUGUUGUGUCUUCACUCCACUGCACUCUCCUUAAGCCUCGACACAGGCUGGACUAUGGGUACUCAGUGCGUCGCUGCACACAGAGAUGUGACUGGAAUACAGAGCACAAUAGUGUUAUGGAGGAAAGCUAAUCCAGAACCAGAACCAGCAUAUUCAGAAAUGUUGCAGUGGACACACCAGAUGAACAGCGGCGGUCUCUGUGGGACCGAGCUCACUUAGGUGUGUUUGCUCAAUUGGAGUUGACAUGCAGCCCAGACUAAUAGAUUAGAAAGGUCUGGGUGAGCAAAUCUCUCUGUCUCUUUCUCUCCAUUGCUCCCUUUUCUUCCCCACCAGUGAGCCUAUUUGAUGUGACAGAGCUUGGAAGUUUGGAUUUUGAACUUGACUGUGUGACUGUGUCUGCAGUGCCAAGGACAUUAUUUUGCAGUUAAAUAAAGGGACUUUUGCCCCUUUUAUUUGGUUGCACUCUCUCUAUGACACAUCAGUUCAUUAUGAUUAGUGGCAUAUGGUUUAUGUUGAUUUUAAGUCAACAUAAUGUUUAUGAAGCAACUCGUAAAACCACUUUAACAACUUUUACUGUUACAACCUCCAUAAAAAAGUUCUAAAAGCACAAUAAAAAAAAAUAUAUGCAUACACUGUUCCACACUCACAUUAGCAGUUACAAUAUUUGGCUCAUAGGAAGCUAUAAUGAUCCAUAAUGGGAAGCUAUCCAUCUGUAUUCUUCAGCUGUUUUCUCAUAUUCACACCCCUGUUGCCUCCAGUGGGACUGCGACGAACACGAAGCAGCAUCUCCCAGCUGGUCCCUCUUUCAUCAUGGGCUGCUGAAUCACCCACAUCCACUUUAACAAAUGUCCUAUUACUUGAGUUAAGAAUGGUUUUUCAAUUUAAUUGGUGUCAGCUUACCUUCUCACACUCAUUAUAUCCCUUGUUUGUUGAGUCUGUAUGUCCUUCACUUGUCACUAGGUAGGUA